This 318-nucleotide unclassified non-coding RNA is filed under the name Resupinatus alboniger. Its description in RNAcentral is "partial internal transcribed spacer region". The stretch from base 1 to 46 matches the Rfam family "Eukaryotic small subunit ribosomal RNA", at positions 1786 to 1831 of the family's 1831-position model. Lineage: Eukaryota; Fungi; Basidiomycota; Agaricomycetes; Agaricales; Resupinataceae. The record is from RNAcentral.
AAGUCGUAACAAGGUUUCCGUAGGUGAACCUGCGGAAGGAUCAUUAUUGAAUUCAAAGUGAAGUUGUGCUGGCUUCUAGGAGCAUGUGCACGCUUUGCAUAUAUAUUCAACCACCUGUGAACUUAUUGUAGACCUAGGGAUUGAAAUCUCAAGGAAACUUGGACGUAGGAGUUGCGGGUCUAUCACAGAUCAGCUUCACCUUGAUAGUUCCUAGGUCUAUGUCUUUACAAACCCUUAUAAAAUGUCAAAGAAUGUCUUACUGGGCUUGUAUAGCCUUUAAAACUAAUACAACUUUCAACAACGGAUCUCUUGGCUCUC